This 5446-nucleotide long non-coding RNA is filed under the name Brassica napus (rape). RNAcentral describes it as "long non-coding RNA (BNAP_LNC008421)". The record is from RNAcentral. Lineage: Eukaryota; Viridiplantae; Streptophyta; Magnoliopsida; Brassicales; Brassicaceae.
GGGGUAAUGAAGAUGAGUGUUCAAGCCAUGGUAGUCAAGAAGAUGUGGACUCCCCCCUAAAGGAUAAGAAGGUCGAUCGCCAAUAUACCUUAGAGCGCAAGUCCAAGAGCAUGCCCAGUGACAUCCAGAGAGACAUUUAUAUUUUGGGUGAAAAAUCUAAAGACAACGGUGUUGAAGGUGUUCAAUUCCUAUCUGAUCGUGAAGAUGAUGGUGCUGAAAUGGAUGCCCCCCCUAUUUGGGAACCCCCGGAGCCACUAGACCCAGAAGAUGAACUAGAAGAUGCUGCUGAUGGUGAUGACUGUUGUAGAAGGGGAUCAUCUUCUUUAGGGGAAUCUAAAGAUGGCAGUAGUAACCAGAGAAAGUUCAAUGAAGAAAAUAGAAGAGCAAUGCUUGCGGUGGCAAACUCAAAGUUUAACUUCAUUGUGAGUCAGCUUAUUCAGUCGGCUGGGUUUUCAAUGGAAGAAGGUGAAAGUUGGAGUGAGAUAGUUGCUAGGUUAUGCUGGGAGGCUGCUUCACUAUUAAAGCCAGAUAUUGAUGGCAAACCAGUUGAUCCGGCUGAGUACAUCAAAGUGAAAUGCAUAGCAACUGGUUCUUGCAAUGAAAGGUAUUACAAGUUACCCAUUGAUUGCCUAUACGUUGCAUAUGUUUUUUAUUCCAUUUCCCUCUACCGUACUCUCCUAAUGGAUUGUUCAUCUCUGCAGUGAAGUUUUUAAAGGCCUUGUUUUCAAAAAACAUGCUGCUCUUAAACAAAUGCCUACCAAGUAUGAGCAUCCUAGAAUAAUGUUAGUCGAAGGAGUACUGGGCCAGCCAUUAAGUGGCUUUUCUUCUCUCCAGUCAAUGGAUAAGGUGGGGAGCACAGUAACUUGGCGAUCACCAAUUCACCAUUUUGAAAGCUUUCAUUUGGUAAUAUCUGAUUUCUUUUUGUUUGGUUUUUGCCAACAGGACAAAGAUGUUUAUGUGAAGCCUGUUGUUGAUAUCAUAACCGCGUUGAAGCCUGACAUCAUGCUGGUGGAAAAAUCUGUUUCGCGUGAUAUCCAAUUGUCUAUUAAUGAACAAAAGGUCACUCUGGUGCUUGACAUGAAGCUCCACCGUUUACAGCGAAUUUCUCGAUGCAUAGGUUCACCAAUCAUUCCAUUGGAAUCUCUGUCUAGUCAGACGUUAAAGCACUGUGAUUCCUUUCGCAUUGAGAAAAUUGUGGAGGAGCAUAAUGCUGUGGGCGAAGCUGAGAAGAAGCCAACUAAAACGCUGAUGUUCUUAGAAGGUUGUCCUACCCGCCUUGGCUGCACGGUGAGUGCUUGAUUGAUAUUGGAUUAUGAUAAGUCGUUGAUGGUAUCAUUACUUGAGUAACACAUCAAUACAUCAUAUAACUGCCUAGUUUCCACUGGAUAAAACAUCAAAUCUUUCAAAAUUUGAAAUUGUGACAUUCACCUUGGACUUUCUUGCAGUGUACCCCUGAUUAUCUGAUUUUGACAUUGUGGUAUGUGACAGAUUUUACUUAAAGGAAGCCACAGUGAAAGGUUGAAAAAGGUCAAAGAAGUAGUACAAGAUUCAUUUAACCUUGCAUAUCAUCUAAUCUUGGAGGCUUCCUUCCUUGCUGAUCGGCAAACAAUGUUCUCAACCAUCUUUCCAAAGGAAGCUACAUCAUGUGUUAUGGAAACAGAAAAAGUUCCACUAUCUCCUUCUCCUGGAAAAUCUUCACUUGAAGCAAUUGAUAUUCCCUUUUCUAAUGGAUUCGAUGAACGAUCUAUUCAGAUAAAUGGGGAAUCAGAUGGUGAGAAAGCUGAAAACUGGGAUUCUGGUGGAGAUCAUGUCUUCUCUCACGAGCCAUAUAAUCCAGUUAUUUUUACUGGGUUUUCCUCUUUAUCCGCCAAGCUAAGUAAAUAUUUUGGCUUAGUUGAAAAUCCGGAAUCAGUUCCAGUUACUGUGGAUACAGAUUCGAUAAGGGAAUCUGCCGAAGAUGCUACAGAAAAGGAUGAAAGACCUUUGUUACUUGACCCUGGGCUCCCGGUAAACACGAAUUCAGAUGAUGGAGAGAGGUCGCCAACUGAGAAUGAUAUUGAGACCACCUUGGAAUCUCAGAGUAUAUUGGUGUUAGUGUCAAAGAGGAAUGCUUUCAAUGGGAUGAUGUGUGACCAAAGUCAUUUUUCGCACAUAAAGUUUUACAAGCACUUUGAUGUUCGCUUGGAUAGAUUCCUGCGAGAUAUGUUCAUUCAGGUUUUACUCUUGUUCUUUGUCAUUUUCUUUUUUUUUAAAUGCUGUUUUGUUCUUUUGUCAAGGUUAAUCUGUGUUCCUUAUGUUAAUAAGCUUUACAACAUUUAUGGCAAGUUUUUUAAGGCAACUGUUUAUGGUGCAGAGAAGCCAGUGCCGAACGUGCGGUGAAACUCCGGAAGCACAUCUUUACUAUUAUGCUCAUCAAAACAAGCAACUAACAAUCCAAAUCAAGCGAAUUUCUGUGCCAAAAUGUUUGCCUGGUGAGGCAAAAGGAAAAAUCUGGAUGUGGAGUCGUUGUGGAAAGUGUAAGACAAAGAAUGGGACCCGGAAAUCUACCAAACGAGUGCUGAUAUCGACUGCUGCUCGUAGCUUGUCAUUUGGAAAAUUCCUGGAGCUCAGCUUUACUCAGCCAACUUUUCUGAAUAGAUUGUGUAGCUGCGGCCACUCUUUGGACAAGGACUUUCUUCACUUCUUUGGGUAUGUUUUUGCUCUAUUUUGCUCAACCUGGAGCUUCACAUAUUCUAAUCAAGUACUAAAGUAAAGUUUUGAGUUACUCUAUUUAUAUGGGCUUCCGAAAUAUUCGCAUUCACAUAUUCUAGGUUAGUUUAUACCUACUUUUCUUGUUUUAAGGCGUAGUUAGUUCUCUUGAAGGUCCCUUGGUUCUAGUGUUGAGACGUAAAAAACAUGGAUGAUGGUUUGAGAGCCGUUAUUGUCUCUAGUAAUAUAUGAUAAAUCUUACGACAUGUUAACAACCUGCAGGUUAGGCUCCAUGGUUGCUAUGCUCAGUUACUCCCAAGUCACAUCUUACACAGUGUCUCUGCCACCCAUGAUGCUGGAGCCAAGCAUUUUUAUAAAAGUGGGUUGGCUUGAAAAAGAAUUCCAUGGAGUAAGUUUAUUUUCUUCUGCACCUGGUAUAUUCAUAUGCAUUGUGUUAGCAACAAAGAUUAUCUCUUGCUUGGGGCGAGGGCUGGCCUUUAAUUGCACAAUGAUUUUUGCUGAUUGUUUCUGUUUACCUGUUCAGGUAUUCACUAAAGGUAUCUCCUUGUUCGAGGACGCUACUAGUUUUCUGAAGAGACUAAGAUCACAGUUCACAAAUUCAGAUCUCAGCUACCAGUGUGCACUAAAAUUGUUGUCAAACGUCGACGAGUUACUGAAUCACGAGCGCCGCCUAUUUCAGGUUAGCAUUGCAACAAUUGCAUUCAGUAUACAAUAUCUUUGUAGUUCAUGACAGAAGCUUACUAAUACCUUUUCAUCCAUUUCUUGGGCAUUAUUGGCUAAAAAUAGGAAAACAUCAAGAUGUCUUUUGAGAAUGCUAAAACCAUGGAUGAUGUUUCCCACAAACUGCUCCGCUUAAACCGCAUGAGGUGGGAACUUUUGUUCCAAGCUCUCACCUGGAACUACCGAUUGCAGUCACUGGUUUUAUCUAAUCGUUUGCUACCUUCAAGUGGUGAGAAGAAGAUAAAUGAAGGUGUAGAGACCAAUCUUGAGGCUGGAUUGACAAGAUAUGAAAAUAAGGACAAAGUUUCUGAUUCUGGUAGCAAUGAAGGCAUGGACGAACCACUUGUUGAAGACAAGGAAAUUCCAAUUGUGGGUGCAUCUGUUGGGGAGAUGGAAGAAUCUGAAGAUAAUGAAUUGCAAACUCUGUCCAGCCCCGGGCCUGAUACAACCUCUCCCAUCAACGAUCAUUUUUACACUCACUUGGCUGUUAAUAUCCAUUCAGCCAAUGAACAAGAAUUAAUUCCAGAUAGUGGAGAUCCACCGGAUGGGAAGGUUGCUGCCUCUAAUGGGCCACACAUCUUAGGCUGGGAUGAGUGGUUCUGGUUGCCAUUUGAAGAUCUACGAUCAAAGCCUAUUGUCGAUGUGGAGAAGGAAUACUUGUUGAAAUUUGAGUAUGUUAACAGUUUCACCCAAGAUAACCUGCAUGCGGUGAACCAAAUAAUCACUGAGGAAGGUUCUCGUCUGCGGAUCUCAUUGAGGGAUGAAGAUUUUAUCGUGUCAGACUAUGAAGACGAGGUCUCGAGCCUAAUAGCUUGCGCGCUUGCCCAUCUGAGCAAUGCUGAUAACAGAUUGCCUCUUUCAAGGUGCAUUCAUGGAUCACUCGAAGGGUUCCUGGAUAAAGAUCAAGAUUCUAAGCAAACUGUUGACCGUGAGGUUUCUCGUUUCGCGAGUGAGAGUACGAGUCGGUUGGAAAUACCACCUCCAGAGGUCCUUGUUACUUUUGGGUCACUCAAAUCAGUGGGAAAACCCAAAUACUCUAUUGUGUGCCUAUAUGCAGAUGAUUUCCGUGACCUCAGAAAGCGUUGUUGCUCCUCAGAGCUUGACUAUAUUGCUUCGCUUAGCCGUUGUAAGCCAUGGGACGCUAAGGGAGGGAAGAGCAAAUCAGUGUUCGCUAAGACUUUGGAUGAUAGGUUCAUUGUAAAAGAGAUCAAGAAGACAGAGUACGAAUCAUUUGUGACGUUUGCUCCGGAAUAUUUCAAGUACAUGAAGGACUCGUAUGAUCUAGGCAACCAGACUUGUCUAGCCAAAGUUCUUGGGAUCUAUCAGGUAAUAAUGUCUUUAGAAUCAUCUCUUGACCAUUCUACCAUUAGCAUUUUGCCUAAAUCGGUAAAGAAACGGAUAGGACUUUAUUUUGAAGGAGCUUCGAUUGCUAUUUUUACAGGUAACUGUAAGGCAGCCAAAGAGCGGUAAAGAGAUAAGGCACGACCUGAUGGUAAUGGAGAAUCUCAGUUUUGGCAGAAAAAUUACUCGCCAAUACGAUCUCAAAGGCGCUCUACACGCUCGGUUUACGGCUACUUCUGCUAAUGGCGCGGAAGAUGUUCUGUUGGAUCAGAACUUCGUCAACGACAUGAACAAAUCCCCUCUUUACGUUAGCAAGACAUACCAUAUGGUUUGAUGAUUUUGUUUUGCUAGGCGAGUGUUCUGUUGAUGGAAACUCUUAUGAAAGGUAAGGCUGGUACAUACAUGUUGCUAGGAUUUUGAUUAAUCAAAGAUUAUUGAUAUAUACUUUGUUCUGUCUAUGUCAGGGGUAAUGAAGAUGAGUGUUCGAGCCAUGGUAGUCAAGAAGAUGUGGACUCCCCCCUAAAGGAUAAGAAGGUCGAUCGCCAAUAUACCUUAGAGCGCAAGUCCAAGAGCAUGCCCAGUGACAUCCAGAGAGACAUUUAUAUUUUGGGUGAAAAAUCUAAAGACAACGGUGUUGAAAGUGUUCAAUUCCUAUCUGAUCGUGAAGAUGAUGGUG